RNAcentral lists this small RNA (21 nucleotides) under Mus musculus (house mouse). Its description in RNAcentral is "oocyte_clustered_small_RNA2663". The record is from RNAcentral. Lineage: Eukaryota; Metazoa; Chordata; Mammalia; Rodentia; Muridae.
UGAAGGAGAACAGCGGCAGUG